GGUGAACGCUGGCGGUAGGCCUAACACAUGCAAGUCGAACGGCAGCACAGUAAGAGCUUGCUCUUACGGGUGGCGAGUGGCGGACGGGUGAGGAAUACAUCGGAAUCUACUUUUUCGUGGGGGAUAACGUAGGGAAACUUACGCUAAUACCGCAUACGACCUACGGGUGAAAGCAGGGGAUCUUCGGACCUUGCGCGAUUGAAUGAGCCGAUGUCGGAUUAGCUAGUUGGCGGGGUAAAGGCCCACCAAGGCGACGAUCCGUAGCUGGUCUGAGAGGAUGAUCAGCCACACUGGAACUGAGACACGGUCCAGACUCCUACGGGAGGCAGCAGUGGGGAAUAUUGGACAAUGGGCGCAAGCCUGAUCCAGCCAUACCGCGUGGGUGAAGAAGGCCUUCGGGUUGUAAAGCCCUUUUGUUGGGAAAGAAAAGCAGUAGGUUAAUACCCCGCUGUUCUGACGGUACCCAAAGAAUAAGCACCGGCUAACUUCGUG
RNAcentral lists this ribosomal RNA (492 nucleotides) under uncultured bacterium. Its description in RNAcentral is "partial 16S ribosomal RNA". It matches the Rfam family "Bacterial small subunit ribosomal RNA", at positions 28 to 507 of the family's 1533-position model. The record is from RNAcentral.